This 45-nucleotide non-coding RNA is filed under the name Schistosoma curassoni. The record is from RNAcentral. Lineage: Eukaryota; Metazoa; Platyhelminthes; Trematoda; Strigeidida; Schistosomatidae.
AUCCAAUUGACGAGUCGAAAGUCGGACGAAACGCGCAUCCUGGAU